GGAAAACAAAUAAAAAUAGUAACUUCAUCCGCUGAAUUUUCUGCACUAGAAGAGAUAAGACCAUGGACACCACAGAGCUCUGCAUCUUGCUAUGUUAAUCCAGAAAAAGAGAGCUGAGGGAAAAGAGGAAGGAAGCUAGCCAUAGAGAUGGCGGCUGAGGCGCUGGUGAGCAUCUCUACAGGGGUGAUCAACUCUGUCUUAGAGAAGCUAGCCACUUUAAUGGGGGAGCAGUACACAAAGCACAAGAGCAUGCAGCGAGAGGUGGCGUUUCUCAAGGAUGAGCUCAGCAGCAUCGAUGCUGUCCUCAAGAAGCUCGAGAACAUGGAAGAUGAACUGGAUCCACAGACCAGGGAGUGGAAGAACCAGGUGAUGGAAAUGGCGUUCCACAUCGAGGACUGCAUCGACGACUUUAUGCAUGAAUCUGGUGAGGAUUCUAACAGAGGAGGUGUUGGCUUUGUUGGCAAAAUUGCUCAGUACAUCAACGCGUUGAGAACGCGUCACCAAUUUGCCAAACAAAUCCAACAGCUGAAGACAUUGGUCAAAGACGUCAGUGAGCGCCGGAAAAGGUAUAAGCUUGAUGAGUGUGCCCCUAGUUCUAGCUAUGUAGUUGUAGAUCCUCGGGUGCCUGCCCUCUACACAGAGGCGGACAACCUUGUUGGCAUGGAGGGUCCAAAAGAGGAGCUUAUCAAAUUGUUGACGGCCGGGGGGACUGCAUCUGUCCAGCCUCCUAGAGUGGUGUCUAUUGUUGGGUUUGGGGGUCUAGGAAAAACCACACUUGCAAAUCAAGUAUACCAUGAGCUUGGAGAGCAAUAUGACUGCAAGGUUUUUGUGUCCAUAUCACAAACACCUAAUAUGAUGAAGCUUCUCGGUAGGAUCAUCAAAAAACUUAAGAUGCCACAACCAACCCAUACAGACAAGGCGCAAGAUCUCAUUGACACCAUCAGAGAACAUCUAAGAGAAAAAAAGGUACUUUUUCAUCAUUGACGAUAUAUGGGACGAAUCAGUAUGGAAAAUUAUUCGUUGUGCGUUUCCAAAGAACCAACAAGGUAGCAAAGUAAUCACAACCAUGAGGAUCGAGACCGUAGCUAAUGCAACCUGCAACGAUCACCAUGAGUUCAUUUACAAGAUGAGUCCUCUUAAUGAUCAAAACUCAUGAAAAUUAUUUUUCAGUAUAGUUGGACAGGUUAAUCUUCCGUCAUUAGAAGAGAUUUCGAAUGAAAUUCUAUAAAAAUGUGGUGGUCUCACGCUUGCUAUUAUCAGUAUUGCUAGUCUUUUGGUCAGUCAGCCAACUAGAUCAAUAGAGCAAUGGAAGAAUGUGUGCAAUUCUUUAAGCUCAAAUCUGAGAACAAAUCAGACUUUGGAGGGGAUGAGACAAGUAUUGAACCUUAGCUACAACAAUCUUCCUCGUCAUCUCAAAUCAUGCUUGCUAUCUUUUGAGGCAAUGGGUGGCUUAAGGUUUCAUCCCGAAAGUACAUGGCCAGGAUGCAAAUAAGGUCGCUGGAAUUACUUUAAUGAGCUCGUCAAUAGGAGCAUGAUCAAACCUACAAAAAUUUGGUAUAACAGGCAGGUCUUGGAAUGUAAUUAUGAUUCUUGAUCUAAUUAGACACAACUCAGAAGAAGAGAAGUUUCUUAGUGCGGUAGAUGAUCUACACGGCAUGAUCUCAGCAUUGCGGAGCAAAGUUCAUCGAAUUUCCGUUCAGUUGGAAUAUGGAGCAAAUGAAGGCACAGUAGAAGCAAGCUUAAGCAUGCCGCAUAUUCGAUCUCUUGCUCUUUUUGGCAAGUCCCGUUUCAUAUUUUCUAUGUAUGAACUCAAGUCCAUCCGGGUUCUGAAUGUGGAUUGUCAGGGUGCUCGUAUGGGUGAUAGGAUUGACCUCACACCAAUAUGUACAUUAUUUCAUCUCAGAUAUUUGAGCAUCAGCAUCCCCGAGGAACAGACGGCAACCCUUAUUCUGCCAACCCUAAUCGGGGACCUGAAACAUUUGGAGACAUUGAAGUUGGAUAUGGAUAUUACUGCCAUGCCAUCUGAUAUUGUUGAUUUGCCUUGCUUGUUGCAUCUACGUGUUCCUAUUGGAACAAGGCUACCUGAUGGAAUUCAUAGGAUGAGGACCUACGUACUCUGAUGAACUUUGAUUUGCACAUGAAUUCGGUGGAUAAUUUAACAGGCCUUAGUGAACUUAGAAAUCUCAGGUCUCUUAAUUUCUGCUGCGAUCAUGCUGAACAUACCACCAGCCAACAUGGAAUUCACAUGGACAUUUUCUGGUGUUCUGUGGCCAAACUUCUCUGUUGCAAUCUGAGAAAUCCUGGAUCUGCUAGUAACAUAUUUUGUCCUCCAUCUGUUGAGUUGGCUUCUCUGAUCACUAGCAAUAGUGAGAGCAAUCUUAUGGAACUCCAUGUUGCAGCAACUUGGAUGUUUCCGAGGGUGCCAAUUUGGACUGGUCAAUUCCAAAAGCUCUCCACGUUAGGAAUUUGUGUUGAGAAGAUGAUGCCGGUGGACUUUGAUUUGCUAGCAGGGUUACCUAAUCUACUGCACCUGUGGUUGUGGAUACGAAAAUCCCCAGAAAUGAGGAUUAUCAUCCAUGGUGGUGCGAUGGCAUUCAAGCUUCUAAAAUAUUUGAGAAUCACGUGCUUCGCUCCCUGCCUAACCUUCAUGGCAGGGGCAGUGUCUGAACUCCAAACCUUGGAACUGGAUAUCCAUGAGGACGGGGGGGAGCGUCAUGGCCCCUCGACCAUUCAGGGCGUGGAGCACCUGUCGAGACUCAGGCAAGUUGAUGUUUAUAUUCACUUUGAGGGAGCUGAUACAGAGUCACAAAGAAGGGCUGCCGACGCGGAGGCUAUCUUGAAGAAUGUCAUCAGCGUCUAUCCAGGACACCCGAGCAUCAACAUCAGGCCUACAGAUAACAGAAACUCUCUUUGUAAGAUCCAUGAACUUUCCAGUGACACUUCUGAUAGGGACGAAGAGGCGGAAAGGCAAGGUAAUGAUCCAGUUGAUCGAUCUGCCGAGGCAGCCACGCAUGCUCCAGCCGCCGUUGCUGAUGGAUCAACAAGGAAUUCACGGUAGGGGCCGGAGCCGUACACAACCAACAUGCAUGGAACACUGGUCAAGCUCUCCACAGAUUUCGCACUACACUUCCAAGGAUUCAUUUCAAGUGUCAGACCAUUUCCAUGGUAGGAUAGAGACUGAAGUUGCGGCGAUUACCUGAUGAUCUGCUUCUGUUAAGACCAGCGGUGGCGGAGAGGCACGCGAGCACUGACCUGAAGAAACUGAAGAGGAAAACAGAGCAUCGGGUCAUUAACAGAGUAUUGAGUAAACCGUAAACGGCACAGGCAUUGCUAAUGCCAGUUUACUAGGGAGAUGAAAUACCGAUGUAUAGAGACGUUUUUGGGGUAGUUUGAAAGACUAGUUCUGGAGUCAAUACCCCUAUAAAUUAGUACAGGCCUAGUGUGAAGAAUUGUUCUAAUUUUUUUUUACAAGAGUGUAAUAUUACUGAACUCCCAAGCAGGCCUUAUUGGUGUACAGCAUGAUACAGGGUAAAUUACUUAGUACAGGUGUAGACCUCUACACAAGAUUAGGAUGACGGACGUGAUAGCUGAAGUUUGGGCCAUAUCGGCUGACUUCCAAAUUUACUCUAAGUAGGAAGACCAUACUACUUCAGAUUUAACAACUUGAUUAGGGUGGCAUGCAUGUUGUGGCCCAGCUAUACGCUAGUUGAGCAUUAACACAUGGGAAAAUCUG
This 3733-nucleotide ribosomal RNA is filed under the name Triticum aestivum (bread wheat). RNAcentral's name for it is "partial small subunit ribosomal RNA". The record is from RNAcentral. Lineage: Eukaryota; Viridiplantae; Streptophyta; Magnoliopsida; Poales; Poaceae.